CUCAAGUGCAUUCGCAAGUGGAGCAGUGCUAAGCAAUUUCAGAGCAAGAUUAUAAAGUCCUGCCUAGAUUGCCAGAUCACAUCUAACUUUGUCAUUCCAAGUGAGUCCUGGGUGGAGAAAGAAGAGAAGCAGAAACUCAUUCAGAAAUACAAGGAGGCAUUGAGCAACAAGGCUUGCAGGUAUUUUGAUGAAGGACGUGGGAGCUGCCCAUUUGGAAGGAAUUGUUUUUACAAGCAUGCGUACCCUGAUGGCCUUACAGAGAAGCCACAGAGACAGAAAGUGGGAACAUCAAGCAGAAACUGGGUCCAAUGAAGGAACCACUUCUGAGAACUCACUGAGGAAAGAGAUAGCAGCAACCCUUUUGACAAUGAUGAAGAGGUUGUCACCUCUUGAGGUGGGCGAGAUGUUGCUUAUGCUUUUGGCUGCAGGUGGGGAUGAUGAACUGGCAGACUCUGAAGAUGAGUGGGACUUGUUUCAUGAUGAGCUGGAAGAUUUUUAUGAUUUGGAUCUAUAGCAACCUUGUGUGGCGUGUGAACUGGUCUGCUGACCCCAGACAGCAGCUGUCCCCUGUGCUGGUGUGGCAGUGCCUGUGUUCUCUCCUAGGUAGGCCUAUCAACUCCAGGUGUUGUAAAAAUUUUUACCCAGGGCCUGUCUUCUCAACCCUUCACCUUUCCCCGAGGAGUGUGUUAUUUUCCCUGUUGAAAACAGUUAAAACUUAAAGUUAGUUUUUUGUAACACAA
This 740-nucleotide long non-coding RNA is filed under the name Homo sapiens (human). RNAcentral's name for it is "non-protein coding lnc-NUTM2G-6:11". Lineage: Eukaryota; Metazoa; Chordata; Mammalia; Primates; Hominidae. The record is from RNAcentral.